UACGUAGGGGGCGAGCGUUAUCCGGAUUCAUUGGGCGUAAGGCGCGCGUAGGCGGCCGCCUAAGCGGAACCUCUAAUCCCGGGGCUCAACCUCGGGCCGGGUUCCGGACUGGGCGGCUCGAGUGCGGUAGAGGCAGGCGGAAUUCCCGGUGUAGCGGUGGAAUGCGCAGAUAUCGGGAAGAACACCGAUGGCGAAGGCAGCCUGCUGGGCCGACACUGACGCUGAGGCGCGAAAGCUGGGGGAGCGAACAGG
Molecule: ribosomal RNA, 252 nt
Filed under: uncultured bacterium
Lineage: Bacteria
Description: partial 16S ribosomal RNA
Rfam family: Bacterial small subunit ribosomal RNA
Source: RNAcentral